AGCAGCCGCGGUAAUUCCAGCUCCAAUAGCGUAUAUUAAAGUUGUUGCAGUUAAAAAGCUCGUAGUUGAAUUUCGGGGUCGGUAGGUUGGUCAUGCCUCAGGUAUGCACUGGUCUCACUGAUUCCUCCUUCCUGAUGAGCCGUAAUGCCAUUAAUUUGGUGUUGCGAGGAAUCUGGACUGUUACUUUGAAAAAAUUAGAGUGUUUAAAGCAAGCUAACGCUUGAAUACAUUAGCAUGGAAUAAUGGAAUAGGACGUUCGAUCCUAUUUUGUUGGUUUCUAGGAUUGACGUAAUGAUUAAUAGGGAUAGUUGGGGGCAUUAGUAUUCAAUUGUCAGAGGUGAAAUUCUUGGAUUUAUUGAAGACUAACUACUGCGAAAGCAUUUGCCAAGGAUGUUUUCAUUAAUCAAGAACGAAAGUUAGGGGAUCGAAGACGAUCAGAUACCGUCGUAGUCUUAACCAUAAACUAUACCGACUAGGGAUCGGAUGAUGUUAAUUUUUAAUGACUCAUUC
Molecule: ribosomal RNA, 510 nt
Filed under: uncultured Glomus
Lineage: Eukaryota; Fungi; Glomeromycota; Glomeromycetes; Glomerales; Glomeraceae
Description: SSU rRNA
Rfam family: Eukaryotic small subunit ribosomal RNA
Source: RNAcentral